Molecule: ribosomal RNA, 477 nt
Filed under: uncultured bacterium
Lineage: Bacteria
Description: bacterial SSU rRNA
Rfam family: Bacterial small subunit ribosomal RNA
Source: RNAcentral
UACUGGCUCAGAUUGAACGCUGGCGGCAGGCCUAAUACAUGCAAGUCGAACGGUAACAUAGGAAAAGCUUGCUUUCCUGAUGACGAGUGGCGGACGGGUGAGUAAAGUUUGGGAAGCUACCUGAUAGAGGGGGACAACAGUUGGAAACGACUGCUAAUACCGCAUACAGCCUGAGGGUGAAAGCAGCAAUGCGCUAUCAGAUGCGCCCAAAUGGGAUUAGCUAGUAGGUGAGGUAAAGGCUCACCUAGGCGACGAUCUCUAGCUGGUCUGAGAGGAUGAUCAGCCACAUUGGGACUGAGACACGGCCCAGACUCCUACGGGAGGCAGCAGUAGGGAAUAUUGCACAAUGGAGGAAACUCUGAAUGCAGCCAUGCCGCGUGUGUGAAGAAGGCCUUCGGGUUGUAAAGCACUUUCGGAGGGGAGGAGAAUGACGUUACCCUCAGAAGAAGCACCGGCUAACUCCGUGCCAGCCGCCGC